GGAGGGCUCGCCUAGUGGCCGAUGGCGAUGGUCUUGAAAACCAUUGUGGCGGUAACGUCACCGUGGGUUCGAAUCCCACGCCCUCCG
RNAcentral lists this transfer RNA (87 nucleotides) under Streptosporangiaceae bacterium. RNAcentral's name for it is "tRNA-Ser". It matches the Rfam family "tRNA". Rfam says of the family: Transfer RNA (tRNA) molecules are approximately 80 nucleotides in length. Their secondary structure includes four short double-helical elements and three loops (D, anti-codon, and T loops). Further hydrogen bonds mediate the characteristic L-shaped molecular structure. tRNAs have two regions of fundamental functional importance: the anti-codon, which is responsible for specific mRNA codon recognition, and the 3' end, to which the tRNAs corresponding amino acid is attached (by aminoacyl-tRNA synthetases). tRNAs cope with the degeneracy of the genetic code in two manners: having more than one tRNA (with a specific anti-codon) for a particular amino acid; and 'wobble' base-pairing, i.e. permitting non-standard base-pairing at the 3rd anti-codon position. The record is from RNAcentral. RNAcentral also lists the same sequence under 2 other names. Lineage: Bacteria; Bacillati; Actinomycetota; Actinomycetes; Streptosporangiales; Streptosporangiaceae.